GAUGAACGCUGGCGGCGUGCCUAAUACAUGCAAGUCGAGCGAACGGACGAGAAGCUUGCUUCUCUAAUGUUAGCGGCGGACGGGUGAGUAACACGUGGAUAACCUACCUAUAAGACUGGGAUAACUUCGGGAAACCGUAGCUAAUACCGGAUAAUAUUUUGAACCGCAUGGUUCAAAAGUGAAAGACGGUCUUGCUGUCACUUAUAGAUGGAUCCGCGCUGCAUUAGCUAGUUGGUAAGGUAACGGCUUACCAAGGCAACGAUGCAUAGCCGACCUGAGAGGGUGAUCGGCCACCCUGGAACUGAGACACGGUCCAGACUCCUACGGGAGGCAGCAGUAGGGAAUCUUCCGCAAUGGGCGAAAGCCUGACGGAGCAACGCCGCGUGAGUGAUGAAGGUCUUCGGAUCGUAAAACUCUGUUAUUAGGGAAGAACAUAUGUGUAAGUAACUGUGCACAUCUUGACGGUACCUAAGCAGAAAGCCACGGCUAACUACGU
Molecule: ribosomal RNA, 496 nt
Filed under: uncultured bacterium
Lineage: Bacteria
Description: partial 16S ribosomal RNA
Rfam family: Bacterial small subunit ribosomal RNA
Source: RNAcentral